AAAGCUUGGCUUACAGUCUGAAUGCCUGUGGCCAAAGGGAAUUAAUCAUGGUCACAAAUCAGGACUCCAAUCCAUGGGCUUCAGAUCACAGGCUUGGAGACAACUAUGGUUGCAGCUGCAAUAGCCUGAUGGAUAAAUCCCCUGUCCCAUCCAGUCUGCUUAAUCUGGGAUUCUGAAACAUGCAUUUUCACACAUCUGUAAAGCUAUGGCAGCUGGGGUUUCCUGAGAGCUGUGGCAUUCUACUGCUUUACACCAGCUGGGAGUUUGUACCUAGACCUUCUACACCACACAUUUCUUACCUCGCUUCACCUUUAUGAGCUGGGUGUUUACUUUGAAGCUGGUUUGUGUACCGAGCUGGAAGGCAACUAGCCCCACAGAAAACGCCAGUGUUUUGAUUAAAAGCUAUUAAAUUGCAUUUGACUUGAGCAAAAUUUAACAUGCUUCAUAAUGCAAUUUUAUGAGCUAUUGAGAUUUCUGGCACCGUAAAAUGAUUUUGUUAAUGGGUUUCAGCAGUUGUUACUUAAAGUGAUGUUAAAAAGUAAUGAAGGGGGAAGUAAAUGCAAGGGGUGAGCUUGCUUCUCAAGUCCGCGGUUCUUUCCUUUCCUAGCUGGAGAGCAUUAGUAGGGGUAAGCAAGCAUUAAACGAAUUCAAUGUGCUGUCUUUGUGUGAAAGAGCUCACUGCAGACCCCAUAUUUUUAGCUGAAUAUGAACUUGCUGACCACAAUUCUGAGUUUUAGCUUGUUAGUUAGGUUGACUGAUGAACACCCAGGACCAGACAGAUAAGCCAGACACUUAAUCUAUCUACUGUAUGUGUUCAGUCAGACUAAAGCUUUAUCAAUCAUUUCAAACUGCAUUUCAAGAGCAUACUGUAUAGUUUCCCAUUAC
Long non-coding RNA from Pezoporus flaviventris, 885 nucleotides. RefSeq lists it as uncharacterized. The record is from RefSeq and is a predicted model, not a curated record. Lineage: Eukaryota; Metazoa; Chordata; Aves; Psittaciformes; Psittacidae. The transcript has 3 exons.